Molecule: ribosomal RNA, 897 nt
Filed under: Neopestalotiopsis eucalypticola
Lineage: Eukaryota; Fungi; Ascomycota; Sordariomycetes; Amphisphaeriales; Sporocadaceae
Description: LSU rRNA
Rfam family: Eukaryotic large subunit ribosomal RNA
Source: RNAcentral
AUCAAUAAGCGGAGGAAAAGAAACCAACAGGGAUUGCCUUAGUAACGGCGAGUGAAGCGGCAACAGCUCAAAUUUGAAAUCUGGCCCUUGGGUCCGAAUUGUAAUUUGUAGAGGAUGAUUUUGGUGCGGUAUCUUCCGAGUUCCUUGGAACAGGACGCCUUAGAGGGUGAGAGCCCCGUACGGUUGAAUGCCUAGCCUCUGUAAAUCUCCUUCGACGAGUCGAGUAGUUUGGGAAUGCUGCUCUAAAUGGGAGGUAAAUUUCUUCUAAAGCUAAAUAUUGGCCAGAGACCGAUAGCGCACAAGUAGAGUGAUCGAAAGAUGAAAAGCACUUUGAAAAGAGGGUUAAAUAGCACGUGAAAUUGUUGAAAGGGAAGGAUUUGUGACCAGACUUUUUCUGGGCGGAUCAUCCGGGGUUCUCUCCGGUGCACUUCGCCCAGUAAAGGCCAGCAUCGGUUUUCGGCGUGGGAUAAAAGCAGUAGGAAUGUGGCUCUCUACGGGGAGUGUUAUAGCCUAUUGUAUAAUACCGCGCUGGGGACCGAGGUUCGCGCUUCUGCAAGGAUGCUGGCGUAAUGGUUAUCAAUCACCCGUCUUGAAACACGGACCAAGGAGUCGAACAUUUGUGCGAGUGUUUGGGUGUUAAACCCUCACGCGUAAUGAAAGUGAACGGAGGUGAGAGCCCUUACGGGUGCAUCAUCGACCGAUCCUGAAGUUUUCGGAUGGAUUUGAGUAAGAGCAUAACUGUUCGGACCCGAAAGAUGGUGAACUAUGCGUGGAUAGGGUGAAGCCAGAGGAAACUCUGGUGGAGGCUCGCAGCGGUUCUGACGUGCAAAUCGAUCGUCAAAUCUGCGCAUGGGGGCGAAAGACUAAUCGAACCAUCUAGUAGCUGGUUACCGCCGA